UCGCCGGGAGGCAAGAAAAGGCUCUGGGCGCCGGGGCUGCCGCUGCUGCGGGGACCGAGCUCGGCCGGGGCGCCCGCCCCGCUCCGGCGCCAGCCUCCGCUCCUACGGCGCUCCCGCGGCGGGGCGGCGCUCGCCGGGCGCCCCCGGGCACCGGUCUGGCAUCCUUUAGCUAAAAAAUAUGUAAUUUUUCUUUUUCUUCCUUUCCUUUUCGCACGCUGGCUCCCCUCUCUUCCACCGCCUCGUCCGGCUUGCCGGCUGCGGGAUCCUGCGCGAAGUUCCCUUUACCAGACGCAAUACCUCAGGGACGCGCCGCCGCCGCGCGGAGUUGGGGCAGGGGCGCAGCCCUCCAAGUUGCUACCGCGCCCCCGGCGCCUCCGGUCGGGGAGCGCUCGCCGGGCGCAGCUCGCAGGGGCCGGAGGGGCGGCGGCUGCGCACCAUGUGCCGCCCCCGGCGCCCGCCGCGGCCCCGGCUCGCAGGAAGCGCCGCGGAGGGUGUGGCCCGCCCGCCCCGCACGGCCCCGCCGCGCACCCGCGGGGAGCCGGCCCGGGAGGGGAGAGGGGCACGGCGGGGAGCCGGGACGCGGGGGACCGCGGGGGGAAGGAAAAAAAAAGAAGAAAGAGAGGCGGGGGGCAAAAAAAAAAAAAAAGCUCCACCGGAUCCGGGUGCUGGGGCGGGCGGGCGGAUCCGUUCCCCUUCCUUUGCCGCUGCCUCACUCCUUCCUGCCGCGAUCAUUCACGCGGCCGCUGCGCGCUCUCUCCCCGCCGCCGCGGUCCAUCCCCUGCGCCCCGGGCCCUCCUCGCCGGCUCCCGCGGUGGCCGCCGCCGCACCAACUUAGGCUCUUCCCGCAAACAAGGGUGGUGGCCGCGGGCUGCAGCCGCGGAUGCUGCGACCCGCCCGGCCUUGCGCUCCUCCUGCCAUCUUCCCUGGCUGAGCCGCCAACUCCCAGGGGAAAAAAAAAAAAAGAAAAAAAGAAAAAGAAAAAGAGGGGAAAAAAAGAGGGGGAGGAAAUCUUCGUUUAAAUUCCCUUUCUCAGGCUUUCAGACAAACUACUGGGACGAGGCGGCUGCGACGGCGCUGCCAGCCAGACGCUGCACGGCUCUGGGGGAGCUCCCCCGCCCCGCUGCCUUUGCUGUAACCUCACUUGAGCCUAUCGAAAUCUUUUGUGCGGUGUCACCGCCCUUCGUUUAA
Molecule: long non-coding RNA, 1188 nt
Filed under: Corvus moneduloides (New Caledonian crow)
Lineage: Eukaryota; Metazoa; Chordata; Aves; Passeriformes; Corvidae
Description: lncRNA (ENSCMUG00000017316.1)
Source: RNAcentral